GAUAUGCCAGUGCAAACACUUCAAGGGAUACAACUAAGCAAGAGCAAGCCACAGUAAAGACACAAGCCUUUGGAAGAGCAAGAAGGCUCUUUUUGUGGCCCAGGAGAAAACUAGCUGUCUACAGAGGAAAAGUGCCAGCAAAACCUCAGCUCUGGAUAUGAGGAGAGUAGACUUCAGGGUGCUCAGGGAAUGAGCUGUUUGCAGGCUUGGAGACUGGAAGCUAAAUAAUUUUUUUUUUCUACCAAAUUCUUCAACAGAGGAUUAAGAUUGGAAAAAAGUCAUCAUUAUCCUGGGCCCAGAGCUGAUGUGGCUAUACUGCUUCCAGCAUGGCUGCUCAUAUUGUACAUCUUUUACAAGAACCUUGGCUUGUGAACACUGACCAGCAUCAGUCCAAGGGUUAAUAGCCCAAGCACUGAUGGUAUUGCCUGUGAAAGUCUUAUGCCAAAUCUAAGAAUUUCAUUUUACCUUCUUCCAGUUGUAUUUCCAUGUACUUCUACUUAACCUGGCAAAAAAAUUAA
This is a long non-coding RNA of Corapipo altera (White-ruffed manakin), 518 nucleotides long. RefSeq lists it as uncharacterized. Lineage: Eukaryota; Metazoa; Chordata; Aves; Passeriformes; Pipridae. The transcript has 4 exons. The record is from RefSeq and is a predicted model, not a curated record.